Molecule: ribosomal RNA, 222 nt
Filed under: uncultured bacterium
Lineage: Bacteria
Description: partial 16S ribosomal RNA
Rfam family: Bacterial small subunit ribosomal RNA
Source: RNAcentral
UACGAAGGGGCUAGCGUUGUUCGGAAUCACUGGGCGUAAAGGGCGCGUAGGCGGCCGAUCAAGUCGGGGUGAAAGCCUGUGGCUCAACCACAGAAUUGCCCUCGAUACUGUUUGGCUUGAGACCGGAAGAGGUUAGUGGAACUGCGAGUGUAGAGGUGAAAUUCGUAGAUAUUCGCAAGAACACCAGUGGCGAAGGCGGCAUCCUGGACCGACAUUGACGCU